CGUUCGAGCGUCAUUACACCACUCAAGCCUGGCUUGGUAUUGGGCAUUACAUUCAUUUGUAGGCCUUCAAUUCUUCGGCUGGACGGUACGAAUCUCAGCGUUGUGGUCUAAUCAAAUCGCUGGCGAGGAGGGCCGGACGUCGCCGUAAAACUUCAUUACAGGUUGACCUCGGAUCGGGUAGGGAUACCCGCUGAACUUAA
Molecule: unclassified non-coding RNA, 200 nt
Filed under: soil metagenome
Description: partial contains internal transcribed spacer 2 and large subunit ribosomal RNA
Source: RNAcentral